CUGUUGUUGUUCCGGUGGAGCCGGCGUGGUUGUCACAGUCACCGCCGAGGGCUGGUAACCCCCGGUGGCGAUCUGUUUCUCAGGCCAAUAUCCAGUAGGAGCAGUCAACGUUGGCGCGACAGUUACCGGCGAAGUCACCGGAGGAACUUUAUCAGGCAAUUUUUGAAAGUAAUACUCACCGGGGUAACCGGCCACCAAAUUAUCAUCACUGUUUUUUCUAUACAUAGUUUGCUGCUCCUGUUCUCUAAUCUGUAUCCUCUGCAACUGGGUCUGAAGGUUAACUGGAUCCGACCCUAUAACCCGAUCAUCGUGACCCACCCC
This 321-nucleotide unclassified non-coding RNA is filed under the name Hevea brasiliensis (rubber tree). Lineage: Eukaryota; Viridiplantae; Streptophyta; Magnoliopsida; Malpighiales; Euphorbiaceae. The record is from RNAcentral.